CACUCACACACACACACACACACUGCACCCCUGACACUCACAGCACACACACUGCACCCCUGACACUCACAGCACACACACUGCACCCCUGACACUCACAGCACCCUCCCACACACACACUGCACCCCUGACACUCACAGCACACACACACACACUGCUCCCCUGACACUCACAGCACACACACUGCACCCCUGACACUCACAGCACCCUCACACACACACACACACACUGCACCCCUGACACUCACAGCACACA
Non-coding RNA from Pelobates cultripes (western spadefoot toad), 255 nucleotides. The record is from the annotation of a GenBank genome assembly. Lineage: Eukaryota; Metazoa; Chordata; Amphibia; Anura; Pelobatidae.